Molecule: long non-coding RNA, 1368 nt
Filed under: Felis catus (domestic cat)
Lineage: Eukaryota; Metazoa; Chordata; Mammalia; Carnivora; Felidae
Description: lncRNA (ENSFCAG00000051125.1)
Source: RNAcentral
AAACAUUAUGCUGUCUAGAAUGAAGAAAAAUGCAGUGAAGAGACCCCUGAUGUAAUGAGUUUUCAGAAUUACAGAGACAAAGAUGCAUAUCAGGAAGAUGACAGAAAUGGAUGGGAUAAUAUCACCACACAGUUGCAGGCAUCAUUUUAUAGUACAGACAAUUGACGUAUUUUCGGGAGAAAGAAUGAACGUGGCAUACGGCAUACCAAAAAUGAUCACUGAGGAGGUGAAGGCCACCACCAGGUCAGAAAAACAGGUAAAAUUCAGUGCCUUUGGUAAAGAUGUGGACACUAUUAUAGAUGCAACUAUGAUACAUGCCUUUUGCUUACAAAGCAAAUACGUAGCCAUCUCUUCUCGACAGUGGUUUCUCACUAUACCUUCAUAAACGAGAAGGAUAUGAUGAUCACUGGACGCAUCGUAGAUACUUCCCAGAAAGCUUCUUGCCAACAGAAAUCAACUUGGAGGCCCAUUUUAAUUUAAUUAUCCCUCCAACCUGCACCAACUUAGUUCCCGUGUUUAAAAAAAAAGAAAGAAAGAAAGAAAGGCAUCGUUCGCAAUGUUGCCUUCGCAUAGUCUUCAGUACAAGCCCCGAAGAAGUUUCUCUGAGUGUUGUCUGUAGGAGGCUGAAAAUGGCCAUGUAGUGGGUGGGGGAGGGAAUGUGAGAGAGGGCUUUUGUUUAACUGCUUGUGGAACAGAAUGGAUCCUCCCCUAACUUUCCACACCCAGCAAAGCUACACACGAAGAUGUCUUAAGCCAAAUGACAGCUCUCACUUGCACAAACAGAAAACUGACCUUCGUGGACUCUCCAGCCUCCCUCAGUACUCCUCGUACUAGGAUGACCAAGGAGAACCAGAUGGGGUUGACCAGUCCGGUAAAAAGUCCCCGAGUUCUAGGGAUAGAAGAGACAGUUGCUUCCCCCCCCUCCCCUUUCUGUACUCUUACUUCUAUCAUUUACUUCAAGUCUAUUUAAAAUAUUUCUCCUCGUUGCUUAGCAACAUCUUAUUAGCUAACCAUUAUCACAUUUUCCUUUAAGUGACUUUUCGCAGCUCCACUGAGCUAACCCCUGACUACCGUAGCAGCGUGGGGCAGGGAUGUGCACAUAAUCCUGAUAAAUAUUUGAUAUAUUAAUUCAUAAGGAGUAUAUAUUACACAUUCAACCACACUUACUGAAUAUCUACUCUUUGACAAACACGGAACCAGUGACAGGAGACAGAUGGAUGGAUAAGACCCACUUUGUAUCAUCAAGGACCUCCCAGAAUUGAUCAAAAGUUUGGGGCUUGGUGUGUGAAUUGCAGAGUUGUUAAGGAUCUUGGGACUUCCAGAAGGGACAAUAAUAAACUUAUAUAUUCUGGGGAUAAUAUUUUUUAG